GGGAAUAGCUCAGUGGUAGAGCGCUAGCCUUCCAAGCUGGAUGUCGCGGGUUCAAAUCCCGUUUCCC
Molecule: transfer RNA, 67 nt
Filed under: marine eukaryotic metagenome
Rfam family: tRNA
About the family: Transfer RNA (tRNA) molecules are approximately 80 nucleotides in length. Their secondary structure includes four short double-helical elements and three loops (D, anti-codon, and T loops). Further hydrogen bonds mediate the characteristic L-shaped molecular structure. tRNAs have two regions of fundamental functional importance: the anti-codon, which is responsible for specific mRNA codon recognition, and the 3' end, to which the tRNAs corresponding amino acid is attached (by aminoacyl-tRNA synthetases). tRNAs cope with the degeneracy of the genetic code in two manners: having more than one tRNA (with a specific anti-codon) for a particular amino acid; and 'wobble' base-pairing, i.e. permitting non-standard base-pairing at the 3rd anti-codon position.
Source: RNAcentral